This 253-nucleotide ribosomal RNA is filed under the name uncultured bacterium. Its description in RNAcentral is "partial 16S ribosomal RNA". It matches the Rfam family "Bacterial small subunit ribosomal RNA", at positions 524 to 776 of the family's 1533-position model. The record is from RNAcentral.
UACGAAGGGUGCUAGCGUUGUUCGGAAUUACUGGGCGUAAAGGGCGCGUAGGCGGAUAAGUAAGUUAGGUGUGAAAUCCCUCGGCUCAACCGAGGAACUGCACUUAAUACUGCUAAUCUAGAGUGCGAAAGGGAGAGACGGAAUGGCGAGUGGAGCAGUGAAAUGCGUUGAUAUUCGUUGGAACACCGGUGGCGAAGGCGGUCUCUUGGUUCGUAACUGACGCUAAUGCGCGAAAGCGUGGGGAGCAAACAGG